This 239-nucleotide ribosomal RNA is filed under the name uncultured Lactobacillus sp. RNAcentral's name for it is "partial 16S ribosomal RNA". It matches the Rfam family "Bacterial small subunit ribosomal RNA", at positions 125 to 356 of the family's 1533-position model. Lineage: Bacteria; Bacillati; Bacillota; Bacilli; Lactobacillales; Lactobacillaceae. The record is from RNAcentral.
CCGUAGCCCAAGAGAUCGGGAUAACACCUGGAAACAGAUGCUAAUACCGGAUAACAACAGAUGAUGCCUAUCAACUGUUUAAAAGAUGGUUCUGCUAUCACUCUUGGAUGGACCUGCGGUGCAUUAGCUAGUUGGUAGGGUAACGGCCUACCAAGGAGAUGAUGCAUAGCCGAGUUGAGAGACUGAUCGGCCACAUUGGGACUGAGACACGGCCCAAACUCCUACGGGAGGCAGCAGCG